AGAAGCAUUACAGGGCAAUACCUCCUCUGGCAGUCGGCCGUCAUAUUAGAUGUCUACUUCUGACGUACUAUUCAUGGCGUGCAUACUGCCAAAGGAGAUUUGCCCGGCAAUUCUCUU
Molecule: microRNA precursor, 117 nt
Filed under: Thalictrum thalictroides
Lineage: Eukaryota; Viridiplantae; Streptophyta; Magnoliopsida; Ranunculales; Ranunculaceae
Description: mir-399 microRNA precursor family
Rfam family: mir-399 microRNA precursor family
About the family: mir-399 was identified in both Arabidopsis thaliana and Oryza sativa computationally and was later experimentally verified. mir-399 is thought to target mRNAs coding for a phosphatase transporter. The mature sequence is excised from the 3' arm of the hairpin.
Source: Rfam by way of RNAcentral